CCUACGGGUGGCAGCAGUGGGGAAUAGUGCGCAAUGGGCGAAAGCCUGACGCAGCGACGCCGCGUGAGGGAUGAAGGUUUUCCGAUCGUAAAACUCUGUCAGCAGGGAAGAACGGUCACUGUGCUAAUCAGCAGUGAAUUGAUUGUACCUGCAAUGUAAGCACCGGCUAACUCCGUGCCAGCAGCCGCGGUAAUACGUAGGGUGCGAGCGUUAAUCGGAAUUACUGGUCGUAAAGCGCUCGUAGGCGGUAUGUCAAGUCAAGGGUAAAAUCCCCGCGCUGAACGUGCGAACUGCUUUUGAUACUGGGAAACUGGAGUGUGUGAGAGGAUAGUGGAAUUCCAGGUGUAGGAGUGA
Molecule: ribosomal RNA, 354 nt
Filed under: uncultured bacterium
Lineage: Bacteria
Description: partial 16S ribosomal RNA
Rfam family: Bacterial small subunit ribosomal RNA
Source: RNAcentral